This 264-nucleotide ribosomal RNA is filed under the name uncultured bacterium. RNAcentral describes it as "partial 16S ribosomal RNA". It matches the Rfam family "Bacterial small subunit ribosomal RNA", at positions 793 to 1055 of the family's 1533-position model. The record is from RNAcentral.
GUCCACGCCCUAAACGAUGCAUAUUUGGUGUAGGUCAUUCAGUUGAUCUGUGCCGGAGCUAACGCGUUAAAUAUGCCGCCUGGGGAGUACAGUCGCAAGGCUGAAACUCAAAGGAAUUGACGGGGGCCCGCACAAGCGGUGGAGCAUGUGGUUAAAUUCGACGCAACGCGAAGAACCUUACCUGGGCUCGAACGGCUCACGAAAAGCUGUGGAAACACGGUUUUCCCGCAAGGGACGGGAGUCGAGGUGCUGCAUGGCUGUCGU